UUUGAAAAGAGAGUUAAAAAGCACGUGAAAUUGUUGAAAGGGAAGCGCUUGCAACCAGAGCGGUUUGGAGGGGUUCAGCCUUUGGCGCACUCCCCUCCAGUCAGGCUAGCAUCAGUUCGGCCGGUCGGAUAAAGGUCGUGGGAAUGUGGCACCCUCGGGUGUGUUAUAGCCCAUGGCACAAUACGGCCUGGCUGGACUGAGGUCCACGCUUCGGCAAGGAUGCUGGCGUAAUGGUUGUCAGCGGCCCGUCUUGAAACACGGACCAAGGAGUCUAACAUCUGUGCGAGUGUUCGGGUGUCAAACCCGUGAGCGUAAUGAAAGUGAACGGAGGUGGGAGCCCUCGGGUGCACCAUCGACCGAUCCUGAUGUCUUCGGAUGGAUUUGAGUAUGAGCAUAGCUGUUGGGACCCGAAAGAUGGUGAACUAUGCGCGGAUAGGGUGAAGCCAGAGGAAACUCUGGUGGAGGCUCGCAGCGGUUCUGACGUGCAAAUCGAUCGUCAAAUCUACGCAUAGGGGCGAAAGACUAAUCGAACCAUCUAGUAGCUGGUUCCUGCCGAAGUUUCCCUCAGGAUA
Molecule: ribosomal RNA, 572 nt
Filed under: Ellismarsporium parvum
Lineage: Eukaryota; Fungi; Ascomycota; Dothideomycetes
Description: partial large subunit ribosomal RNA
Rfam family: Eukaryotic large subunit ribosomal RNA
Source: RNAcentral